GGCCCAAUGGUCUAGUCGUAGGAUACUCCCUUCGGGUUUCUGCCCGCUUCUUUCGGAGCGCAGUGGGAGUGGUCCCGGGUUCAAUUCCCGGUUGAGCCC
Non-coding RNA from Mycena vitilis, 99 nucleotides. NCBI's taxonomy places the organism in Eukaryota, Fungi, Basidiomycota, Agaricomycetes, Agaricales, Mycenaceae. The record is from the annotation of a GenBank genome assembly.